UUGGAGGGCAAGUCUGGUGCCCGCAGCCGCGGUAAUUCCAGCUCCAAUAGCGUAUAUUAAAGUUGUUGCAGUUAAAAAGCUCGUAGUUGAAUUUCGGGAUUAGUACGUUGGUCGUGCCUUCGGUACGUACUGGUGUUACUGAUUCCUACCUUCUGACGAACCAUCAUGUCAUUAAUUUGGUGUGGCGGGGAAUCAGGACUGUUACUUUGAAAAAAUUAGAGUGUUUAAAGCAGGCUCGCGCUUGAAUACAUUAGCAUGGAAUAAUGAAAUAGGACGUUGACCCUAUUUUGUUGGUUUCUAGGAUUGACGUAAUGAUUAAUAGGGAUAGUUGGGGGCAUUAGUACUCAAUUGUCAGGGGUGAAAUUCUUGGAUUUAUUGAAGACUAACUACUGCGAAAGCAUUUGCCAAGGAUGUUUUCAUUAAUCAAGAACGAAAGUUAGGGGAUCGAAGACGAUCAGAUACCGUCGUAGUCUUAACCAUAAACUAUGCCGACUAGGGAUCGGAUGAUGUUAAUUUUUUAAUGACUCAUUCGGCGCCUUACGGGAAAC
Molecule: ribosomal RNA, 548 nt
Filed under: uncultured Glomeromycotina
Lineage: Eukaryota; Fungi; Glomeromycota
Description: SSU rRNA
Rfam family: Eukaryotic small subunit ribosomal RNA
Source: RNAcentral